RNAcentral lists this long non-coding RNA (591 nucleotides) under Eucalyptus grandis. Its description in RNAcentral is "long non-coding RNA (EGRA_LNC000910)". Lineage: Eukaryota; Viridiplantae; Streptophyta; Magnoliopsida; Myrtales; Myrtaceae. The record is from RNAcentral.
CAAACCUGCUGAACAAUGGCCUUGAAAUCUGGGUGGUGAGUCCAGAAAUCAAAAAACUUAAAGGGCUUCACCUUAUGAGCCAGCUGCGUAAUCCUGACUAUCAUAGGUGAAUGAUCCGAUAUCCCCGGAUUAAGAAACGAUGCCUCAGAGUAGGAGAAUUGGAGAUUCCAUUCUCCAUUUACAAGGACACAGUCUAUUUUCCUCAUCUUCCUCGCUUCACCUGCUGAGGUAGACCAGGUAAAACGGCAUCCAAUGUACCUGAGAUCCAUCAGCUCAGCCUGAGCUAAGCACUGAGCAAACUCAUCAAAGCAGGGAAUCCAGUUGGUAGAACCACCCAUACGAUCAGAAGGCCCUUUUAUUGCGUUAAAAUCACCAGCAACCAACCAAGGAGAAUUUUGAAAGAUGUUACUGUAAUGAAUGAGAUCCUCCCACAAAGGCCGACGGCGAGAGAAUGAGUGUUCCCCAUAUACAGCCGAGACACAGCAAUUCAGACCAGAAAGAUUAAACUUAAGAGAACCAUGCACAGCUUGAUCACUGACAGAGAUAGACGAAUAGGAAACCAGAUCUGGGUUCCAUCCAACCCAGAUCCUC